GUGUGGUCACACAAUGAGUGUUUAUUAUUCAAGGUUAAAGCUUGCAGGUGUUUUCUGUCUGUAUCGUGAGAAGCCACCAGUAUAUUAGGGAGGCAUGGUAACUCCUCUCCCUGAAGAUUCAUGAAGACGUGUGAGAAACUGUCCUUCAGCAAAGGAAUGUGUGAGAAAACUGAGAAAAGGCUGCACAACAAAUGUAAAAUGUAUAUUUCUGUAGUAUGUGUAUGUUCAAUAAAAGAACGGUGCAGGGGAGAGACAAACAGACGUGUUCCUGACUACGCAGAUGCAGCAUCUCUUCCCCCGGCCGGGUGAAUCAGCUUCAACCUCUUGUCCGUGUUUUCUUUUCUUAGACAUUUAAGUUUAGUUUUUUCUCGUACAGAAAUAAGAUGCUUUGACCAAAUAAACAAACACGCAGGAGUUUAGGAGGACAACUCCAACAUGUCAAACAGGCAGGCCUGUAUAAAUUACUUUUCCAAAAUUUGCACAGCCCUAAUAUUCUCCUGAUUGACUGUUUUAUGUUGUGUUUGUUAGCUUCUGUCUUUGUGAUGUGUUAAGACCUUGUUUUUCCUUCUCUGCUAGAUGUUUGUUUCUAAAUUGCAGCCUGAUUAAACAUAGUUUAACUUAAGUGAGCUGAACUGCUCACAGAGUUGCUAGUCGCUACCACCUGAUACUGUAGGCUUAGGCACGGAGUUCUGACCCAAUUACAGAUGUAAGCCGAUUUAAUAAAAACAAACAAACUUGGUAACCAAGCAGUUGCUUGUUAAGUGUUACAGUUUUGUUACGUACAGAUUACAGGUGAGUUUACUGGAGAAAAUGCAUGGAAAUAUGUUGAGUGAAUGUAACAUACACGAGCUCCUAAUGUUGGAUUUGACCUGUUGCUGUGUUGGCACUCCAUCUGCUCAAACCAUGUAGAAACACAUAUAGAUCUUGGCUUUUUUAAUCAACCUUCCUCUCCUUCAGGUAAGAGAAGAGUCCCAGACAGAGACAGCUUCUUUCUUCCCUCUCUUCAUGUUAACGGAUGUGAACACAUACAAACAGAGCUCCUUUGUGUUUCUGUUACGACCUAUUCAGGAGGCUCUUGUUACUCUGCCUUGCAGGUAAUGAUAAGGUCUUGGAGAUGCUCAGCUACUACCGAUGGAGAAUCUGUGGAGGAAGCUGAAGAUUAGGUUAAUGGCAAGAAGGCCUUCCAACCUGUAGCCCUUGCAUAUUGUCUUAUUAGCUUUUGGGACAUACCUGGAUCAGCCACAAUCAGAAAAAUACACCUUGUUUAAAAGAAAAUAUUCUUAUAAGCAAACUUGGCCUAAAAUAUACUACAUACAAAAUGUGCUUUAGUUUUAAAUAAUUGUUUUAUUUUGUUUGUAGUGUUAGUUGUAAUGAGAGCUGUGGAUGUGAGCUCCCAUAGGGUAGCUUGUCCCCAAACACUAAGAAGGAAGUGAAUAUGCAGAGACUUACCUAAUCUAUUUUGGGUUUGCAGUCCACGGCUGAUGAGGUGUGACACAAAAUUACCUCAUGGUAAAAGGUGACUUUUCCUGUGUUUAAUGGGACGACUACAUUUCCAAAGUAAAGCUUAUAUAAAAUGCCAUCUGUUGGAUUUAAAAGAAAAGAUGCUUAGGUGGAAUGCAGCCACUGAAGAACGCGCUAAAUCCUUGCAAAGCAUUACUUCAGCUUUGAGACUCAACUUCGGCUAAAAGGGAAAAAGGUGUUACUUUCACCAGGACCACAAUCAAUUAUAACAAGCAGCCUACAUGAAAAGUUAAGAAACAUUUUUACAAAAUUAUUCUGCAGGGCUGAUCUGGAAGUGAGAAAUGUACAAGUUGAAGUAGAAUAAAAAUUAUUCAUGGUUUUCAAGAUUUCCAGAUUUCACUCUCUAGAUGUGCAGAGCUGGUAGAAACUUGCCCCAGAGGGCUUUUAGCUGUGACUGCAGCAAAGGUAUUAAGUCAGGAGGGCUAAAUGCAAUGCAUAGCACAAUUGUCAGAAAAACUUGAAACCAUGUAUAAUUUUCCUUCCACUUUAAAAUGAUGCAGUACCUUGUGUUGCUCUGUCAUAAUAAAUCCAAAUGCAUCAUGCCAUACUGCAAUAUCCACAAUGCAUCAUAUUAUGUGCAAAUGCAAAAUCUAAAUAAGUCGAGGAUUUAUAAAAUGUGCUGCAUCACUUCUGUAAAACCUAGAGCGUCACUGCAGAUCCUAACUGUUCGUCGCGCCUUAAUGGAGUCUCUGAGGAACAUCUUUGUGACUUGGCCUGUGAAUGUAAUUAAAGUUUUAAUCUCUUUUCCUGGUUAACAGUGUCUCAAUGUGAUGACCUGAGAAUCUCAUCAAGCUGUUUGCUGAGUCACAGUUAAUCUCAGCUGACUGUUUCUGUUUGCAACAUAACAUGUACAGGAGUAAUGUAACAAGAUGUCCGGGCAGUAAAGUGAAAAAAAAGGUCAAUUCAAGUUACUAAUAGAAUGCAUGUUCAUGUAAUCUGAGAUUUGCUAUCUCUUUUUAAUACAAUUUUUUAUGGAUUUUACUUUACAAUUGCUACCUUACACCUAAUGCUUUCACCGAAUUAAUUCUCAUGUGUCAUAAAAAUUUGGUUAUGCCAGCUUGAAACUAAUUACGAGGCUGUUUUCAAACAAUUUUAGAGCUGUGGCCUGCUUUGCCAAAGUAGUCUUAAGUUUUUUUUAAAUCCUCAUGAAGCAAAAGUAAAUAACCACAGUGUCGAAAAGAUGACAAACUCUGUUCAGAGAAAAACAUCUGUUAAGGAUCUGAUUAGCUGUUCAACAUGUGUGUUAAAUCUAUCUGAGUGUGACUGUAAGAGCAUGCCGGACAAUCCAAGCUUUGUUCCCUCCAUGACAGUUUGGCCCCGCCACAUUUGACCUGUCGUCUCAAAGAUCAGAGCAGGUGACAUAAGAGUGGCUCAUGUGUCACCUAUGAAACCCAUUUGGUUCAGCAAGACCCGUGAACAAAUCAGAACAGGUCAGAUCAGACCUCUACAGGAUCCAUGGGUGAAGAUUUGAUGCCUGAGACACCUCAUCUCACCUUUCCUAAUGACUAAAAUAAAAUCUGACUUGAUUUUU
Girardinichthys multiradiatus is the source of this 3052-nucleotide long non-coding RNA. RefSeq lists it as uncharacterized. Lineage: Eukaryota; Metazoa; Chordata; Actinopteri; Cyprinodontiformes; Goodeidae. The transcript is spliced from 2 exons. The record is from RefSeq and is a predicted model, not a curated record.